AUCACCAGUGAUUCUUUGUGAACUGACAUUCUGAAAAAGGGCAAGAACAUUAAAGAUAAAGGGAAACUAUAAACAAAAGAAAUUUUCAACAAAAAUAGAUUUACAGACGUCAACAAAGCCUAAAUGGUCAGACAUCUUGGUUUUCAUGAUCAUCAUUCAACAGGUCAAUACUGAACAGCAAACUUAAAGUUGAUAUUUUUCUACAUAGUGUGACUUUUUUAUUAAUUUGAAAUGGAAUGUGUUUUUUUUCCUACAUAAGAAAGAGGAAAUUUCAACAUAAUGACUAUAAACAAAAAGGAGUCAUAUCAUCAUGAUCAUAGAUGCUCAAGAACUUAAUCAUGUAAAUGCAAGAACGUAAUUAUCAAUUGAAAGAAGGGAGGAAUGAAAAAAUAUAUUAGUAUUUUGUUGUCCAAAUGAACUUGCUUUGUCCACUCAUUUAAAUCGCUCCUUCCAAUAAAGAUGUACUGAGGAAGAUUUUUGAAGAACAGAUUGCAAAAAUGUUUUGUCUAAGAAUUGUAGGAAUAUUCUAAUGAAUGAAAUAAUUUAUUUACUUGACUCUUAUAUAGUGGACUGAAUAAUUGUUCAUAGCAAGCUGAAACAAGAAAACUAAAACUUAACAGGAAAAGUGUUUAUUUUAUAAAUUUACAAAUAUAAAUGUCAUAUUAUGAACACGU
Mytilus californianus (California mussel) is the source of this 674-nucleotide long non-coding RNA. RefSeq lists it as uncharacterized. The transcript is spliced from 3 exons. NCBI's taxonomy places the organism in Eukaryota, Metazoa, Mollusca, Bivalvia, Mytilida, Mytilidae. The record is from RefSeq and is a predicted model, not a curated record.